GGCUGAGUCCCUUCAUGUAAGUAUUAUUUAAUUUUAAUUCUUAUGUUACGCAUUCAAUUAUAUGCAUGUUUUAAUUUAUAUUUUAUGUUAUGUUAAACAGACGACGAUGGUGGAUAGGAGCUAGUUGGUUUUUCAGGAGUCCGCCUCCCAACUUCCUCCCGAGACUCCGAUCGAGUCUGUGGAUCCUCCACAGGAUGCUGGAUUUCAGAUCUUGACGGAGACGUUGGACCGAACUCUCAGGAGGACGCAGGGGACAUAUUGUCGAGAGAUGGGGAAUGCCCAGUAGAGGGAACCUAGACCCCGUUCAUCAGCGCAGUCAAACAGUCAGGUGACUGCUUUGACAGCACAGGUGGCCGCGCUUCAGGGUAAGAUGUCGGUAAUUCUGCAGUCCCUCCCGCGGUCCGACAUUCUAGUCCAGCAAUUUGAUGCGUCGACCUCCGAGCCCGUCCACCUCGAGCAUGCCCGCUAGACCACUGCCCCUAUGGACCCCUAGAUCUCCGAGCUGCAUAUGCCUGACGACCAAGCAGAUUUUGGAACAUAAUUUGAUUAGUUUUUUUAUUUUUAUAAUUAUAUUUUAAACAUUUCUCUUGUAACACAUUUAUUUUAUUUUAUAUAAUUUUUUGUUCUCUUCAAUUCAUUUUGUG
RNAcentral lists this long non-coding RNA (644 nucleotides) under Prunus persica (peach). Its description in RNAcentral is "long non-coding RNA (PPER_LNC003309)". Lineage: Eukaryota; Viridiplantae; Streptophyta; Magnoliopsida; Rosales; Rosaceae. The record is from RNAcentral.